AACGAACGCUAGCGGCAUGCCUAACACAUGCAAGUCGAACGAGAUCUUCGGGUCUAGUGGCGCACGGGUGCGUAACGCGUGGGAAUCUGCCCUUUGGUUCGGAAUAACAGUUGGAAACGACUGCUAAUACCGGAUGAUGACGAAAGUCCAAAGAUUUAUCGCCAGAGGAUGAGCCCGCGUAGGAUUAGCUAGUUGGUGUGGUAAAGGCGCACCAAGGCGACGAUCCUUAGCUGGUCUGAGAGGAUGAUCAGCCACACUGGGACUGAGACACGGCCCAGACUCCUACGGGAGGCAGCAGUGGGGAAUAUUGGACAAUGGGCGAAAGCCUGAUCCAGCAAUGCCGCGUGAGUGAUGAAGGCCUUAGGGUUGUAAGCUCUUUUACCCGGGAUGAUAAUGACAGUACCGGGAGAAUAAGCUCCGGCUAACUCCGUGCCAGCCGCCGCAGUAA
This 448-nucleotide ribosomal RNA is filed under the name uncultured bacterium. RNAcentral's name for it is "partial 16S ribosomal RNA". It matches the Rfam family "Bacterial small subunit ribosomal RNA", at positions 29 to 523 of the family's 1533-position model. The record is from RNAcentral.